UUAAAAAAAAAAAAAAAAGGUAGAUCAAUAAUUAACAGCUUUCUCCAACAACCUACUUCUAAAAACUUGACAAAAAAUAAAUAAAUAGCCAAUCUACAAGCUGAUCAAAUCUACCAAUGAAAGACAACAAACCCAGUUUUUAUCUUUCUAAUUUUUCACCCAUGAACGAGGAAGAAAUAAGGAGAACCAAAAAACAAACUACUGCUACAGCUCUGAGCCCCUUAAUAUUUGUGGUUUUCCAGCAGGGAAAAAUCGUCAGAUAUUAAACGACACAGUUUUUUCAUCUUCCACUUUCCCGAGGAUAAUUAAAUGGUGCAGAUAAAAAAAAAGGGGCAUAAAAAAAAGCAAAAAGAAAGAAAG
Molecule: unclassified non-coding RNA, 360 nt
Filed under: Hevea brasiliensis (rubber tree)
Lineage: Eukaryota; Viridiplantae; Streptophyta; Magnoliopsida; Malpighiales; Euphorbiaceae
Source: RNAcentral